RNAcentral lists this ribosomal RNA (119 nucleotides) under Gadus morhua (Atlantic cod). The record is from RNAcentral. Lineage: Eukaryota; Metazoa; Chordata; Actinopteri; Gadiformes; Gadidae.
GCUUACGGCCAUACCACCUUAGGCACGCCCGAUCUCGUCUGAUAUAGGAAGUUAAGCAGGGUCGGGCCUGGUUAGUACUUGGAUGGGUGACCGCCUGGGAAUACCAGGUGCUUUAAGCA